GGACUUCCACUGGCAAUCAAGACAGUAGCAGCAUUACUGGCACCAAAAACCAAUUCACUCGUCCAAUGGAAUGAAAUUAAUAAAAAUUUUCAUGAAUUGAUAGUGGAAGGAAAAAUUAGUUCAGUGAUGGCGUCUUUGCAACUGAGCUAUGAUGAACUUCCAACCCAUCUAAAGCAAUGUCUUUUGUGUUUCUCCAUCUAUCCUGAAGACUUUGAGAUGCAUGCUGAACAAUUAGUCCAUUGGUGGGUUGGAGAGGGACUUAUCCAGGGUAAGGGCUCAAAAACAGCAAAAGAAAUGGGAUUUGAGUACCUAUCUGAUUUGGUAGCCAGAUGUUUGGUUGAAGCUGUACAUAGGCGAGACUAUGAUGGAAGAGUCUACUGUUGCAGGAUGCAUGAUAUGGUGCGGGAAUUGACUAUUAAGAUUGUAGAGGAGGAAUCAUUUGGCAAAUUUGAUGAGCAAAGCAGGCAGAUACCGAUUGCAAAUUCUCGCUGGUUGGGUAUCACUAGCAAAAUGCACUCAAAAUCUUUAAGGAACAGCACAAAGCUCAGGGCAUUAUUAUUAAUGCCAAGCAGUGAAGUUGUCCUCGAUAGGCGCAUUGGGUGGUUUAGUUCCCUCAGGGUGUUGGAUUUCUCACUUGGUAAGCUGGAUAAUAUUUCUGUAGAGGAUUUCUUGGUUUGGAUUUGCUCUCUUAAACGCCUCGCGUAUCUAAAUCUUAGUGGUGUCUCAGGCAUUAAAGAAUUGCCAUCCUCAAUUAGAAAGCUACGAAACCUGCAGCUUUUGAUUUUAUGUGGAUGCAGUAAUCUAGUCAGAUUAAAUCCAUAUAUUACUACAUUGAAGAAGCUGGUGGUGUUGGAUUUAGGAUCUUGUGGUCUCGAGUAUCUACCCAAAGGACUAGGGAGGUUAUUCUAUCUGCAAGAACUGUCUGGAUUCAAGGUUAGCAAUCAGGCUAACAAGCAAAGCUGUCGACUUCAUGAGCUUCGGGUACUGAGCCACCUGAGGGUCCUGCGAAUGAACAUAGGCAGUGAUUCUGUAAUUCUAGAAGAUGAUAAAAGUGUCUUAUUGCAGCUCAGUAAACUUAAGGUUCUGGCCAUUGAUGCUGAAGAUUGUGAAGAUGGAAAUAUUUUAGAAAGGCUUAAUGCUCUUACACCUCCACCAAGUCUUCAGGAAUUCUAUCUCAGGCGUUAUCGACAUAAAACUCUCCCUACCUGGAUUAAUCCUGAGCAGCUUUCUAGUUUGCAGUAUCUUUGUAUUGAGAAUGGAGACCUCACCCACAUCGAAACCCGUCCUCAGCAUGUUGCUGAUAGUCUAUAUACUUGGAACAUUGAGGGUCUAUGUUUCAAGGUGUUGCCAAGCUUAAAGGUGGACUGGAAGAACUUGGAGCAGGAUAUGCCUUUAUUACGUUAUGCAGAGGUGAGUGGUUGCUUCAAUUUGCAAAAUUUUCCAUGUUCUGAUGACAAGUUGGUGGUCUGGAGGAAGAAUGAAGAUUGAAGAGCUAAUCAAACUUAUGGUUGACUUUUUGUAUCUCUGCUGUUGCAACCUUACUGCUCUGUUCUUGUGUGUUUCUCAUUAGAUAGGGCUACAGAGUGUUGAUCUUCUCUUUGAUUUUUUUUUUUUUUACCUCCACUCUUCUACUUUCACUGGUUUUUUCACUUAGGAUCUGCCGCGUAGGUUGACUGUAAGGGGGAAGGCCAGUGGUUGGGUUUCAGUGUGUGACAUUUGCUAAAUUUUCCUUCCUUUUAAUCUUAAUUUUAAUAAAAUUUUGGCUCAAAAAAAAAAAAAAAA
RNAcentral lists this unclassified non-coding RNA (1782 nucleotides) under Hevea brasiliensis (rubber tree). Lineage: Eukaryota; Viridiplantae; Streptophyta; Magnoliopsida; Malpighiales; Euphorbiaceae. The record is from RNAcentral.